CACAGACACACAGACAGGUAGACACACAGACAGGUAGACACACACAGAGACCGGUAGAGACACACAGAAACAGGUAGACACACACAGACAGGUAGACACACAGACAGACACACAGACAGACACACACAGACAGACAGGUAGACACACACACACAGACAGACACAGACAGACAGGUAGACACACACAGACAGACACACACAGACAGACACACAGAGACAGACAGACACAGACAGACAGAGACACACACAGACAC
Molecule: long non-coding RNA, 253 nt
Organism: Oncorhynchus tshawytscha (Chinook salmon)
Lineage: Eukaryota; Metazoa; Chordata; Actinopteri; Salmoniformes; Salmonidae
Source: Ensembl